Molecule: long non-coding RNA, 1488 nt
Filed under: Paramuricea clavata
Lineage: Eukaryota; Metazoa; Cnidaria; Anthozoa; Malacalcyonacea; Plexauridae
Source: RNAcentral
GGCAUUAAUUAAGCAUGCAAAUAGCUGAUUUUUAGGAAAAAUGUAACUUUGCGUGAAUAGUUAAAGGGCUUAAACUAAACUAAAUUAUCUGAAAUUUUGUACAGUNNNNNNNNNNNNNNNNNNNNUGUUAACUCAAAAUAUGAUUGCAACUUUUAAAUUUUGUGCGCUAGCCAUUUUUAGUUUGUUGGAAAAGACACCCCCCCCCCCUGGUUCACAAAAUUUGAGUUCGAGAAAUUUUUUUCAUUCUACAUUAUAAGUACCCAAAGAAGCUAUAUAUAUAAAAAACCGGAUACAAAUAGGUGUUUUGCGAAAUCGAGAGCAAUUUCAAAUCUGUCCAGUUUUUUUUUUAUACACCCUGUAGUUCAAACGUCGCGCUUAUCAUGUAGCGAGCCUUAUGUUUAGACCUGCACUGGUUGUUUGAACCCGUUGUGGUUUCCAACAAUCGAUACCUUGCUGUAAAAUGAAUACAGCUAAUUCAAAAAACGUUGUCCUUUGCAAACCUUAAACUCUAAACCUUAAACUCUAAACGUGCAAAGCAUAAUGGGAGCUGCAUUUAAUCAGUUCAGAAAUCAUAUAUGGGACCCAUUUCUUAGAGACAUGAUAAAUAUCUCCUUACCUGAACAUUUUAUUUACAAAUAGCUGCAAUAUUCAACUACUAAGCUUGAAACUUGUGCUCCCAUUAAGAUUUGCGCGCUUAGAGUUUAAGGUUUAAGGUUUAGAGUUUAAAAAGGACAACCUUUUUAAUUGGCUGCAUGUAUGUCUGGAGCGCUACCUCCAACCGGAAAUUUGAAGCCAGACUUAUAAAGGCCAGUCCCAGUCUUUUCACGCAUGUGACGAGUACGGUCAAUCCGUCAACAUGAAUAUGUAUUCUUGAAAACCAGCUUAAAAUUUGCCAAUAAAAAGCUUUUUAACAGCUGUGAAAACGUUCUAUUAAUCCAUAUAAAGAAAACUUGCUAUAGUAGAAUUUAGUUUCAGUUUUUUCUUAUCAAUACGGCAUGGUCUCUCGAGAGGAUAGACAUAAACGCGCUGGUCUCGACCUCCAGACACUGGAGUCAGAGUUGGCUUCAAGAAAAAUAUAGACAGUUUAUAUAUGAAGGUAGUGUUCCAGUUAUUCAUCCCACAUACAAUACCUGCCAAUGAUAUUAUUUUGCUAGCGUUUCUCAGCGGUGGAAAUAACUACAGAAACUCAAGUACGAACUCACGGUCAAGAAACUUGACGGUCAAGUACAAACUCACGGUCAAGAAACUUGACGGUCAAGUACAAACAGUACUCCCGGUCAAACAUUAACAACUACUCUUAAUGAGGAAAAACAAUAGUAUUUUCUUGUAAUCUAAAUUACUAUUGGAGCCGAGCAUAUGCAGGUUCCAUCUUAGAUAUAUUUAAUAAAUUUGCACGGUGCUUUAUGGUGCUUUUCCUAUGGUGCUUUUCCCGUCGAUUACCUGACGAUGUUCAGUCCGGGUGGUUUCAACCGAGGCUGAAACUCGGGC